RNAcentral lists this ribosomal RNA (56 nucleotides) under Azospirillum brasilense. The record is from RNAcentral. Lineage: Bacteria; Pseudomonadati; Pseudomonadota; Alphaproteobacteria; Rhodospirillales; Azospirillaceae.
CCUCAGCGCCGAUGGUACUGCGUCUUAAGACGUGGGAGAGUAGGUCGCCGCCAGGU